UUGCUAGUAAUCGCGAAUCAGAAUGUCGCGGUGAAUACGUUCCCGGGCCUUGUACACACCGCCCGUCACACCAUGAGAGUCGAUAACACCCGAAGCCUGUGAGCUAACCUUUUAGGAGGCAGCAGUCGAAGGUGGGGUUGAUGAUUGGGGUGAAGUCGUAACAAGGUACC
RNAcentral lists this ribosomal RNA (170 nucleotides) under uncultured bacterium. RNAcentral's name for it is "partial 16S ribosomal RNA". It matches the Rfam family "Bacterial small subunit ribosomal RNA", at positions 1332 to 1500 of the family's 1533-position model. The record is from RNAcentral.